AACCGCGUAGCUCAAUUGGAAGAGCAUUGGGCUAGUAUUCCAAAGGUCGUAGGUUCGAAUCCCGCCGUGGCAA
RNAcentral lists this transfer RNA (73 nucleotides) under Paramuricea clavata. It matches the Rfam family "tRNA". Rfam says of the family: Transfer RNA (tRNA) molecules are approximately 80 nucleotides in length. Their secondary structure includes four short double-helical elements and three loops (D, anti-codon, and T loops). Lineage: Eukaryota; Metazoa; Cnidaria; Anthozoa; Malacalcyonacea; Plexauridae. The record is from Rfam by way of RNAcentral.